RNAcentral lists this ribosomal RNA (107 nucleotides) under uncultured eukaryote. RNAcentral describes it as "partial 18S ribosomal RNA". It matches the Rfam family "Eukaryotic small subunit ribosomal RNA", at positions 1299 to 1421 of the family's 1831-position model. The record is from RNAcentral.
UGGUGGAGCGAUUUGUCUGGUCAAUUCCGAUAACGAACUAGACUCUAGCCUACUAAAUAGUUCGGGGACCCCACAAAGGUUCCCCGCUUCAACUUAUUAGAGGGACA